This 237-nucleotide ribosomal RNA is filed under the name uncultured Desulfuromonas sp. RNAcentral's name for it is "partial 16S ribosomal RNA". It matches the Rfam family "Bacterial small subunit ribosomal RNA", at positions 1148 to 1382 of the family's 1533-position model. The record is from RNAcentral. Lineage: Bacteria; Pseudomonadati; Thermodesulfobacteriota; Desulfuromonadia; Desulfuromonadales; Desulfuromonadaceae.
ACUGCCGGUGUUAAACCGGAGGAAGGUGGGGAUGACGUCAAGUCCUCAUGGCCCUUAUGUCCAGGGCUACACACGUGCUACAAUGGCCGGUACAAAGGGCUGCAAGACCGUGAGGUUGAGCGAAUCCCAGAAAGCCGGUCUACAGUUCGGAUUGGAGUCUGCAACUCGACUCCAUGAAGUUGGAAUCGCUAGUAAUCGCGGAUCAGCAUGCCGCGGUGAAUACGUUCCCGGGCCCUU